RNAcentral lists this non-coding RNA (29 nucleotides) under Rattus norvegicus (Norway rat). The record is from RNAcentral. Lineage: Eukaryota; Metazoa; Chordata; Mammalia; Rodentia; Muridae.
UAUACACUUCUUAGGAAUAUGAGUUUUGC